CAUACCUUGUGUACACAAAGCAAGACUUACCCAGGAGCAGGAAGUACUCCAAGAAGGUGGAAAAGAAAAACAGCAGAGGGCAUCUCACCUGCUUAGAGCCAAAUGAUCUCAUCUGGAUCAUCCUUCUUUCCAGGACGUUUGAUCUUUUACCAUCCUCUAUGAUCUUUCAAAAGCAAAGACAAUGUGUCAGCAAUCCUAUCUACCAGGUCCACCCAGUAUCCUAGCAAGUAGUUCAUCUGUGGCAGGUUGACUUGAACUCCUCAAGAGCAGGUGAUCCAAGGAAAGAUUCAUGGGAGGAUAGAGUCGGGGGGAUGUAGACUGCAACACAUGACCUGUGAGGAUCUGUGUGAGAGAAAUCCCAUAAAACACAUCUUCGAGGAAAAGGAAACGGGCUGGUUAUAUCACAAGAGUGAGCAAUCACAGUCCAAUAACUUCACUGGUCCCCAAGAAAUAUCAAAUGAACCAGAGAAAGACCUCCAGCACAUGGGGAGAAUGAUCAUUGGACUGGGAAGAACAGAAUAAAAAUGGUCAAUAAAGAGGUGAAACCUAAAAUAAACAAGAAGAUGGUGAGAUCACUGAAUUGCCCUCAAUGAGUCUAAGACAUCAGGAUUGGACAAACUGUAAUGCAGAGAAAGAAACUGCGGCCCAGAGAAGAAAAAUGGCUUGUCUAAGAUCCCAUAGCAUUGUUCUUCUGGCGUAUAUGGUCCUUGAGAACCCAAGAUCUUUGUACCAUGACAAAACAUCAAAAGAAGACUUUAAUCAAGGCAAAUACUUUUAUUCAAUUUUGCAAGUGAGGAAACUAAACUACAGAGCAGUUGAGUGACAAAGGACAGAAUAUUUUUUAAAAAUAAGGGAUUUUAGUGAUCAUUUAGCCCAAUCCUCUCACUAAAAAUGAGAAGCUUGAGGCCAGAGAGGUAAAAUUUUUUUAUUAAACAAUUUAUU
Molecule: long non-coding RNA, 942 nt
Organism: Vombatus ursinus (common wombat)
Lineage: Eukaryota; Metazoa; Chordata; Mammalia; Diprotodontia; Vombatidae
Exons: 5
Source: RefSeq, a predicted model, not a curated record